GACGAACGCUGGCGGCGCGCUUAACACAUGCAAGUCGAACGGAAAGGCCUGCUUUCCCUUGUGGAUUGCGGGUACUCGAGUGGCGAACGGGUGAGUAACACGUGAGUGAUCUGCCCCCAACUUGGGUAUAAGCCUGGGAAACUGGGUCUAAUUCCCGAUAGGACUGCAGGGUGGUGCCUGUGGUGGAAGACGAUUUUCUAGUGGUUGGGGAUGAGCUCGCGGCCUAUCAGCUUGUUGGUGGGGUAAUGGCCUACCAAGGCGGCGACGGGUAGCCGGCCUGAGAGGGUGGACGGCCACAUUGCGACUGAGAUACGGCCCAGACUCCUACGGGAGGCAGCAGUGGGGAAUAUUACACAAUGGGCGGAAGCCUGAUGCAGCGACGCCGCGUGGGGGAUGACGGCCUUCGGGUUGUAAACUCCUUUCGACCGCGAGGAAGCCACCUGGUUGGAAGGGUGGUGACGGUAGUGGUAGAAGAAGCACCGGCUAACUACGUG
RNAcentral lists this ribosomal RNA (494 nucleotides) under uncultured bacterium. RNAcentral's name for it is "partial 16S ribosomal RNA". It matches the Rfam family "Bacterial small subunit ribosomal RNA", at positions 28 to 507 of the family's 1533-position model. The record is from RNAcentral.